AUACCAUCCCGAAGGAAAAUACAAUCCGAACGUGCAGGACCCAUGGUUAGCGAUGGAAGUUAGGGUUAGGGCGCUGCCGCACUGCCCCAUACCUUCAUCCGCCAUCCGUCCUGCUCCCCCUCCCACCAUCGCUCUGCCGCCGCCCCCAUGUUCCACCCGAUGCGCCAGCACGACGCGCCCGGCAGGCCGGUCUUGCCUUGCCGUCCACCCACACAUCUCCUCCCUCGGAUUCUAGCGAGCUGCGGCGGCAACCACGGUGAACUGCCAUGGGUGCGGCCAAUCCGUGCUCCAGUUCAGGCAGGUCAACCAUGUCUCCACGAUGGCGCGGGCCAACCUGGUGGUGCCGGACGCUGCUAGUCUCGGCCGUCGCGUGAUUGUGUGGAUGACGCUCAGCAUGUCCCUGUAAGCGCCGGCUACUGCUGCUCUCCGCCCCCAUAUGUUGCAACCUUGGUCUAUCCUUCACUCGAUUCUUGAAACUGUUUGCGUUUUCUGAAACUUCCUACAUUAGGAGACACUUGCCCCAGAUCCAAUUCGUCGAUGGAGUUAGAACAAUUCCGUACAACAGAGUCUUAGGAGUGCGACAGCGCCAUCCUGUUCCACAAACCAUGUGAAGAAUGAUGGGUGGUGUAAUCCCAUGCUAGCUAGAGUGCUAGACAGAUUUAAUAAACUCUUUUGAGCUCAUCUUUUGGCCUGAAACACAACUAAACUGCCCCAGUAGUGAGCAAUGAUUAAUAAAACGGAGUUCAUUUGAUCCAUCUGAUAAAAAUAACUAUUGGGGAAUAAGAAUGAAAACUAAUCACGUGUUGUUUCUGCAGUGGAAUUCAGCCGUGACGAUCAGAAGUUCAGGACCCCACUAUAGGCAGGAAAAAAGAUUAAUCUUGUAAUUUGCUCGCAGGAGAGCGAUGACUGUGGCAGCAAGCUCUCUAGGGAUGGAGAGCACUGCACAGAGAAGGAAGGGAACGUGAAUGGAAUUGGGCAUUGGUAUAGUGUCAGUUUCGGUCAGGCUGCCCACCAUGUGUGGUGUUUCAG
Aegilops tauschii subsp. strangulata is the source of this 1029-nucleotide non-coding RNA. NCBI's taxonomy places the organism in Eukaryota, Viridiplantae, Streptophyta, Magnoliopsida, Poales, Poaceae. The record is from RefSeq and is a predicted model, not a curated record.